AUGACUCAAAAAAAUAUCAGAGACCAUGUAGGCAUCUAAUCAGAGUUAGGAUGUUUUUCACCUAUAAUUUUUCCCUACAACAGAGAAAGAGUUCAGUCAUAGUGAGCUGCCCAAUCCUUUAAGGCUACAAUUCCACUGUUCAAAUAUAUACACACUAACUCUGCAUGUGUUCUGUGACUUUGGUUAUCUCUGUUUUGAGCUGCAAAUUGCUGUUUUUCAGCUCUUCCCUCAAGAGUCAUUUGAUGGAUGAGAUCCUUCACCAGAAGUAAUACCUGAUCACUCAGCUGAACCCUGACCACUUGUAUCUGCCCCA
RNAcentral lists this long non-coding RNA (313 nucleotides) under Cyanistes caeruleus (blue tit). Its description in RNAcentral is "lncRNA (ENSCCEG00000002003.1)". Lineage: Eukaryota; Metazoa; Chordata; Aves; Passeriformes; Paridae. The record is from RNAcentral.